Apis dorsata (giant honeybee) is the source of this 1218-nucleotide long non-coding RNA. RefSeq lists it as uncharacterized. Lineage: Eukaryota; Metazoa; Arthropoda; Insecta; Hymenoptera; Apidae. The record is from RefSeq and is a predicted model, not a curated record. The transcript has 4 exons.
AAUGUCAUCAGAGGAGAGAUAUAUCAUAUUCUAAUAUAAUGAAAAAAAUAAAUAAAAAGAAAAAGAAACAAUAAAGGACUACUGGGACGUUCUCGAGCUAUUUUAUAGCUUCGUUUAUUGCGACUAUCGCGAUUAUUGCGCCAUCGAUCGGGAGAAUACGGUAAACUCGCCAUUGGCGAGUCGUGAUAAUUACGAAGGAUACAUUUCAGGAAAAGAGUUGAGUGUGGUUAAGCUCUGGUGGAUGUUGAUGAGUUUUUCGAGAGUUUUGGAGAUGAAAUAUUCGAGUGCUUUCCGGAAUUAAGCGCGCUUUCUUUGCGGUCGGUUACAAAGUGUUGGAGUUAGGUUAGGUUCAAUUCUGCGUUUCUUAAACUAGAAUGUUUUUUGCGAGAGCAAAUUUCUCGUCGAAUAUUCUUCUCAGAAAAUUAUUAUAUUCACAAAUUUAUAUUUCAGAAAAGAAAGAAACGCAAAUGUCACGCUUCCCAGAGAGAGAGAGUACACUUCUCCCUAAACACAUAGAAAGAUACUCUUGUUCCGCGCAAAACAGCGCCAGGUCAACGACACUUUAACUGAUCUCAAUUCCGUAUAACCAAGAGCUAAUUGUAUCAAAGUAGGGAGGAGAAACGGCAAAGUGGAAAACGUUUCCACGUAACUCGAUCAACGUCAAGGUGUCCACCCAUGUUACCGCGUCUACGACCAGUCUGACCACUUAUCGACAUCUGUAAAUGCACCUUGAACGGGUCCAACGACGACUUUAUCCAUCGUUGUUGAUUCACCGCCAGUUAUCGAUAAAUUAACGCGGCGUAAACUUGACGCGUUAUCGUGCGUUGGCCACGCCUCUCUCCCUUUCUAUACCGAAAACGGGAGAGAUCGUGGGAUGGACGUGUAUUGCAACCGAUAACGAUAACGAUGCAUCGCCGACCAUGGUUGCGGAAAACGAUCGCCCACAGUUUUCCAGUUUUCGUUUGUUUAAAAUCAAACGUAUAACAUCGAAGUAAACGUUUGGUAGAGCAUCGAUAUGGAAGAUGGUGCACAAGAAACUGGCAGUGAAGUUCCGGGUGAAACGAACGCUUUGCAUGCGUGUAUCAGCCUUCCCCAUAAAGCUUAAUUGCGAUUGAAGGUCUUCGGCAUAACCCAGACAUGGAUUAAGGUGCAACCAUAGAAGCAUACACGUUACAAAGUGCCGGUUACCGGUUUGAAGCGUUUAUUAAUGCAAUAACG